RNAcentral lists this ribosomal RNA (219 nucleotides) under uncultured bacterium. RNAcentral's name for it is "partial 16S ribosomal RNA". It matches the Rfam family "Bacterial small subunit ribosomal RNA", at positions 111 to 334 of the family's 1533-position model. The record is from RNAcentral.
UAAUGUAUGGGAGUCUGCCCGAUAGAGGGGGAUAACUACUGGAAACGGUGGCUAAUACCGCAUAAUGUCUACGGACCAAAGCAGGGCUCUUCGGACCUUGCACUAUCGGAUGAACCCAUAUGGGAUUAGCUAGUAGGUGGGGUAAAGGCUCACCUAGGCGACGAUCUCUAGCUGGUCUGAGAGGAUGAUCAGCCACACUGGGACUGAGACACGGCCCAG